GUCAUUCAAACUUUAAUUCAUUUGAAAUAGAGGGUAGGAUAAAAGAAAUGAACCUCAAAUGAAAUUCUUCUAAUUGUCAAUGGCAAAAUUAAGCAAAUGUACACUUCUUCGAUCUCAAAGAUUCACCGAGAAACAGCAACAAAAAUCGAACGGCGGAACCGGAACCUGAAAUUUCACCUCGAAUUCUCAAAACCUUCGACACUUCUUCGAAAUGAGUGGUGAGCUGGUUGGGAUAUGGAAGGGGCAUAACUUGUCUAGGCAGCUGUUGGCUGGUUCUGGGGUUAGUUUUCGCCGGUUUCUGGCGAUGCUCGCCAGCGAAGGAGGUGAGAUAGAAACGAGAGAAAGGGAGUUGGAAGGGUGAGGUUGUCUCUUUAUUUUCGUUCCCCCUGUUCUCUGUUAUGCUUCAGCUAUUUUGAAUGGAGGUGAGUCACUUCUGGGUUCGUCCAUUUUUGUUCAAAGAAGGUGAAGAAGCUUCAGCUGUAGCUGGUUGAAGUAGAAAAUGCAGCAGAGAGGCAUUAACCUAUUAUAUAGAAUUAUAGAUGUAGGU
RNAcentral lists this long non-coding RNA (547 nucleotides) under Nicotiana benthamiana. RNAcentral's name for it is "long non-coding RNA (NBEN_LNC027893)". The record is from RNAcentral. Lineage: Eukaryota; Viridiplantae; Streptophyta; Magnoliopsida; Solanales; Solanaceae.